This 425-nucleotide unclassified non-coding RNA is filed under the name soil metagenome. Its description in RNAcentral is "partial contains 5.8S ribosomal RNA, internal transcribed spacer 2, and large subunit ribosomal RNA". The stretch from base 1 to 120 matches the Rfam family "5.8S ribosomal RNA", at positions 35 to 154 of the family's 154-position model. The record is from RNAcentral.
GAUGAAGAACGUAGCGAAAUGCGAUAAGUAGUGUGAAUUGCAGAAUUCCGUGAAUCAUCGAAUCUUUGAACGCACAUUGCGCCUUCUGGUAUUCCGGAAGGCAUGCCUGUUCGAGAGUCAUUAACAACCGUUUCGAUCCCUUUCUUUCAGAAAUUACAAAGAGGAAAAGGGUUUGGUUAUGGUGGAGGAGGGAAAGGGAGCGUUUAGCCUGUAAAAAAAGAGGCUGUGUUCCGCCUCCCCCCCAAAAUUGUACAGGCGGUCGUGUGCGCCCACGCAUCGAGGUGUUGUAAAAGCUGCCACGGCACUUUUCACCUGUGCAGUGCGAGAUUGGCCAGACGGUUUAAAAACCCCUCCAAACAAUCAAAGGUUGACCUCGGAUCAGGUAGGGAUACCCGCUGAACUUAAGCAUAUCAAUAAGCGGAGGA